This 1125-nucleotide long non-coding RNA is filed under the name Salvator merianae (Argentine black and white tegu). RNAcentral describes it as "lncRNA (ENSSMRG00000017908.1)". Lineage: Eukaryota; Metazoa; Chordata; Lepidosauria; Squamata; Teiidae. The record is from RNAcentral.
UGGGCGGGCGUGGAAACGAGAGGGGUGGGGGGAUCUCUGCCUCCCUCCCUUCAUCGCCCGCUGCCACUACGUUGCGAAGGCAAACAGGCGUGGGGGGUGGGAGGGGAGGGAAGGGGAGGGGCCCCCUCCUUCCCUUUAAAUCUCCCCAUCCCUGCCGUGCACACAUGGGCGAGGGGAGCGCAAAACGCGUCGCGCGCGGGACCGCCGAGAAGGCAGAGCGCUUUCCCACGAGCAAAAGCACACGGGGGGGGAAUAUUUUUCCCCGGGGCGGGGGGGCGGGGGGAGAAGACAGGGGGGCUUCCUCCUGCAGCUGCUGACCCCUCCCCUAUUCAGAGCCCCCUAGCUUUCUGUCAUUCCCCGCCCCCCUGUUUCCACCCCCCCACCCCGUUAAAGCAGCAAUACUUAGAUACAAGCAUCUUCUUCUUCUUCCUCCUCCUCCUCUUUCCCCAGGGAGCGCACGCAGGGGCGCAGCAGCGGCCGCCGCCGCUCCCGGGUUUCCUCCUCCGCGAUCCACACGACCGACGGGCACGCCGAGCGGCGGAGGAGGCUGGAGGGGAGGGAAAGAGGGGGGAGGGAAAGAGGGGGAGAGGGAGGGACUCGGGCGGGCAGUGGGGGGGUCAUCGCCGCCGUCCCUCGCCGCCCUCAGACCCCCCCCUCCCUCCCCAGGAGGCCCGAUCCGAUCCGGUCCGGUCCAGCGGCAGACAGAGCGAUUGCAGAGAAGGAAGACGGCGCCGCCGCGGGGAACGAAGCGCGCGGGGACCGAGGCGAUGCCGCCCUCGCCCGGCGCGGGUGCGGACGAGGCGCGGAGCCGUGGGGUGGGGUUUGGGGGUGGGGGGAGGGGAGAGAGAGAGAGAGAAAGAGGGACGGGGAAGCAGGCGGCGGUGGGGCGCGCGGAGCGUUUACCUACCGGCGGCGGCGGCGGCUUUGGCGCGGAGGGAGGGACGAGCGCGCGGCGAGGCGGUGCAGACGCGGGCGCCCCCGCCGUCUCCUCCCACUCGCCGGGCGGAAAGGGGGGUUAAGGGGCCCGGCAGGCGGGCGGGUCAGCUGACGAGCCCGCGCCAAGCAGAAGUCGUUCGAGGCUGGGUUGGGGAAAGAGGAAAGAAAAGNAAGGCAGAGCGCCCCUGA